This is an RNA transcript of Dipodomys spectabilis (banner-tailed kangaroo rat), 1702 nucleotides long. It is a transcript of the gene named class I histocompatibility antigen, Gogo-B*0101 alpha chain-like, with no coding region annotated. The transcript is spliced from 8 exons. NCBI's taxonomy places the organism in Eukaryota, Metazoa, Chordata, Mammalia, Rodentia, Heteromyidae. The record is from RefSeq and is a predicted model, not a curated record.
GUUCUAAAGUCCCCCGCGGAGCUACCGGCACUCAGAGUCUCCCCGGAUUCUGGGGCUGGGCUCAUGGCGCCCGGAUCCGUCCUGCGGCUGCUGUCGUGGGUGCUGGCGCUGACCGGGACCUGGGCGGGCCCCCACUCCCUGCGGUAUUUCCACACCGCCGUGUCCCGGCCCGGCCUCGGGGAGCCCCGCUACAUCGCCGUCGGCUACGUGGACGACGCGCAGUUCGUGCGCUUCGACAGCGACGCCGCGAACCCCAGGAUGGAGCCGCGGGCGCCGUGGGUGGAGCGGGAGCCGCCCGAGUACUGGGAGCGGGAGACGCGGAUCCAAAAGGACCACGCACAGACGAACCGAGUGAACCUGCAGACGCUGCUCGGCUACUACAACCAGAGCGCGGACGCUUCUCACACCUUACAGAGAAUGAGUGGCUGCGACGUGAGCGCAGAUGGCCGUCUCCUCCGCGGGUACUGUCAGCACGCCUACGAUGGCCAGGACUACAUCGCCCUGAACGAGGACUUGAGCUCCUGGACCGCGGCCGACAUGGCGGCUCAGAUCACCAGGAGCAAGUGGGAGGAGGCCGGUGAUGCGGAACACUGGAGGGCCUACCUGGAGGGCAGGUGCGUGGAGUGGCUGCGCAGAUACCUGGAGCGCGGCAAGGAGACGCUGCAGCGCACAGAUCCCCCAAAGGCACACAUCACCCUCCACCCCACCUCUGAGCAUAAGAUGACCCUGAGGUGCUGGGCGCUGGGCUUCUACCCUGCGGAGAUCACCCUGACCUGGCUGCGGGAUGGAGAGGAGCAGACCCAGGAAAUGGAGCUGGUGGAGACCAGGCCUGCAGGAGAUGGAAGCUUCCAGAAGUGGGCAGCUGUGGUGGUGCCUUCUGGGGAGGAGCAGAGAUACACAUGCCAUGUGCAGCAUGAGGGGCUGCCUGAGCCCCUCAGCCUGACAUGGGAGCCGUCUACUUGGCCCACCAGUCCCAAGACUAGAAUUUUCAUUGGUGUGGGCAUCUUUGCAGUUCUGGUUAUUGUAGCUGUGGUGGUUUUUGUGCUGUGGAGGAAGAGGACUGGAGGUGACAAGAGAGAAGGCUAUGAUAAGGCUGCAAGUGAGUGCCAUGGGGGAGGAGGUGACCUUUGUUGUGGUGCAGACAGGACCUGUGGGAGCUCAUGCACCCCGGAAUUCCUCCAGUGAUGCCUGUGUUCUCUAACCAGUUCCUCUCUUCCACCACAGAUGACAGUGACCAGGGUUCUGAUGCUUCCCUCAGAGCUGAAAAAGUGUGACAUAGCUGCUUUGUGUGGCUCUGAGAGGCACAGCAUUUGUUCCUGCCUCUCCUCCUCCCUCCUGGGACAUCAUGAGCUCCUGACUUCUCUUCCUGUACCUGGGUUCUGACCGUGUGCAGGCUUCUGUGUGCUGUCAGCCUCCUGUGAGGAACUGAGGAGCCAGUCCAGCCCUGAGCACCAGGACCCUCCCCACACUGACCUGGGUCUCUUUCCCCUCCAGCUGCUGCUCCAGCAGAGGCGGGGCCAGGGCUUCCCCAACCCUGACUUCACUUUCCCUUGCUCUGAGCUGCAGCUGCUGCUUCCCCACUGAUAAAGAGAAUACGGAUGUGGGUCUGUGUUUCAAAUUGUUGCCAUGGAAAAAUGUUGAAUAAAUCAAUGAAUGAUUCCCAAAAUUGAAUUAGAAAAUCAAACAUGAUUAAAUUCCAGAA